AAUCUCUUUUUUAGGUAAAAACAAAAGUUUUCCUUUUUCUCUGCUCUGGAAAACUUGCUGAGGGGAUACAUCUGACAAGGCACAAGAGUAGCUCGAUCCCCAGAGCCUCGUGUGGUGUCCCACUUGUCCUGACUGCUGGACCCUGCUACAGGAAAGGAGCCUGGAAUCCUGAGCUGCCUUGCUWUUGAGAUAUGAACAUCUGCAGAUGAGAACUUUACACAGGAAGUCGUCAGCCUCUACAUUCCCCUGCAAAGAGAGAGCAAAUGCUGCUCACCAACCCCUGCUCUGCAGUUUGGAAUAUCUCAGUCCUUUUCCACUGAUGAAUGAAGAUCCUAUAAUUGCCCAUAGCUCUCUGUAAGUGUCAUUGCUCUGUCACAGGACACUCAUUGUCACUGCAGUAGAUCUCACCAGGACAGCUUGUGGAUGCCAUGUCCACUACCAGCAAGAUGGUCAACACCACCUCACUGAGAACAUUUAACUUCAAAAUGUUAAAAAAAUUUCUGUCGCUGCUCCUUGA
Malurus melanocephalus (red-backed fairy wren) is the source of this 517-nucleotide long non-coding RNA. RefSeq lists it as uncharacterized. The transcript is spliced from 3 exons. NCBI's taxonomy places the organism in Eukaryota, Metazoa, Chordata, Aves, Passeriformes, Maluridae. The record is from RefSeq and is a predicted model, not a curated record.